Molecule: ribosomal RNA, 820 nt
Filed under: uncultured Azoarcus sp.
Lineage: Bacteria; Pseudomonadati; Pseudomonadota; Betaproteobacteria; Rhodocyclales; Zoogloeaceae
Description: bacterial SSU rRNA
Rfam family: Bacterial small subunit ribosomal RNA
Source: RNAcentral
CGGGGGGGAUGCUUUUACCUGCAAGUCGAACGGCAGCGGGGGCUUCGGCCUGCCGGCGAGUGGCGAACGGGUGAGUAAUGCAUCGGAACGUGCCCAGUCAUGGGGGAUAACUACGCGAAAGCGUAGCUAAUACCGCAUACGCCCUGAGGGGGAAAGUGGGGGAUCUUCGGACCUCACGUGAUUGGAGCGGCCGAUGUCAGAUUAGCUAGUUGGUGAGGUAAAGGCUCACCAAGGCGACGAUCUGUAGCGGGUCUGAGAGGAUGAUCCGCCACACUGGGACUGAGACACGGCCCAGACUCCUACGGGAGGCAGCAGUGGGGAAUUUUGGACAAUGGGCGCAAGCCUGAUCCAGCCAUGCCGCGUGAGUGAAGAAGGCCUUCGGGUUGUAAAGCUCUUUCGCAAGGGAAGAAAACGUGUGGGCUAAUAUCCUGCGCGGAUGACGGUACCUUGACAAGAAGCACCGGCUAACUACGUGCCAGCAGCCGCGGUAAUACAUAGGGUGCGAGCGUUAAUCGGAAUUACUGGGCGUAAAGCGUGCGCAGGCGGUUGUGUAAGACAGGUGUGAAAUCCCCGGGCUUAACCUGGGAACUGCGCUUGUGACUGCACGGCUAGAGUACGGCAGAGGGGGGUGGAAUUCCUGGUGUAGCAGUGAAAUGCGUAGAUAUCAGGAGGAACACCGAUGGCGAAUGCAGCCCCCUGGGCCUGUACUGACGCUCAUGCACGAAAGCGUGGGGAGCAAACAGGAUUAGAUACCCUGGUAGUCCACGCCCUAAACGAUGUCAACUAGUUGUUCGUAGAGUAACUCUGUGAGUAACGCAGC